AGUGAACGCUGGCGGUAGGCCUAACACAUGCAAGUCGAACGGCAGCACAGUAAGAGCUUGCUCUUACGGGUGGCGAGUGGCGGACGGGUGAGGAAUACAUCGGAAUCUACUUUUUCGUGGGGGAUAACGUAGGGAAACUUGCGCUAAUACCGCAUACGACCUACGGGUGAAAGCAGGGGAUCUUCGGACCUUGCGCGAUUGAAUGAGCCGAUGUCGGAUUAGCUAGUUGGCGGGGUAAAGGCCCACCAAGGCGACGAUCCGUAGCUGGUCUGAGAGGAUGAUCAGCCACACUGGAACUGAGACACGGUCCAGACUCCUACGGGAGGCAGCAGUGGGGAAUAUUGGACAAUGGGCGCAAGCCUGAUCCAGCCAUACCGCGUGGGUGAAGAAGGCCUUCGGGUUGUAAAGCCCUUUUGUUGGGAAAGAAAAGCAGCAGGUUAAUACCACGCUGUUCUGACGGUACCCAAAGAAUAAGCACCGGCUAACUUCGUG
RNAcentral lists this ribosomal RNA (492 nucleotides) under uncultured bacterium. RNAcentral's name for it is "partial 16S ribosomal RNA". It matches the Rfam family "Bacterial small subunit ribosomal RNA", at positions 29 to 507 of the family's 1533-position model. The record is from RNAcentral.